This 364-nucleotide ribosomal RNA is filed under the name uncultured bacterium. RNAcentral's name for it is "bacterial SSU rRNA". It matches the Rfam family "Bacterial small subunit ribosomal RNA", at positions 110 to 507 of the family's 1533-position model. The record is from RNAcentral.
GUAACACGUAGGAACCGUACCCCAAACUGAGGAUAAGCACCAGAAAUGGUGUCUAAUACCGCAUGUGCUCUUCGGAGUAAAGCUACGGCGGUUUGGGAACGGCCUGCGCAUGAUUAGCUUGUUGGUGGGGGUAACGGCCCACCAAGGGCAUCGACGGGUAGCUGGUCUGAGAGGACGAUCAGCCACACUGGGACUGAGACACGGCCCAGACUCCUACGGGAGGCAGCAGUGGGGAAUCUUGCGCAAUGGGCGAAAGCCUGACGCAGCAACGCCGCGUGGGGAUGAAGGCUCUCGGGUUGUAAACCCCUUUCAGCAGGGACGAAUCAAGACGGUACCUGCAGAAGAAGCCCCGGCUAACUACGUG